RNAcentral lists this ribosomal RNA (442 nucleotides) under uncultured bacterium. Its description in RNAcentral is "partial 16S ribosomal RNA". It matches the Rfam family "Bacterial small subunit ribosomal RNA", at positions 338 to 795 of the family's 1533-position model. The record is from RNAcentral.
CCUACGGGGGGCUGCAGUAGGGAAUCUUUCACAAUGGGCGAAAGCCUGAUGGAGCAACGCCGCGUGCAGGAUGAAGGCCUUCGGGUUGUAAACUGCUUUUAUAAGCGAGAAAUAUGAUGGUAACUUAUGAAUAAGGAUCGGCUAACUACGUGCAAGCAGCCGCCGUCAUACGUAGGAUCCGAGCAUUAUCCGGAGUGACUGGGUGUAUAGAGUUGCGUAGGAGGGAUAAUAAGUAGCUAGUGAAAUCUGGUGGCUCAACCAUUCAGACUAUUAGCUAAACUGUUAAGCUCGAGACCGUGAGGGGUAACUGGAAUGUCUAGUGUAGGAGUGAAAUCCGUAGAUAUUAGAAGGAACACCGAUAGCGUAGGCAGGUUGCUGGGACGGUUCUGACACUAAGGCACGAAAGCGUAGGGAGCAAACGGGAUUAGAUACCCUGGUAGUC